AUGCCAUAUUUUCCAACACAUCUUAUCAUAUAUAUAGUGCAAUUAAUGCUAUAUUUUCUGGAAACAUCAAAACGGAUGAAAGAUGAAGAUGUCUAUGAUUGCAUUGAUGUGAAUGAGCAACCGACUUUCAGGCACCCAUUAUUGAAAGACCACAAAGUCCAGAGGGAGUACAUUUGUAAUAUUUUUUUAUAA
Molecule: ribosomal RNA, 192 nt
Filed under: Triticum aestivum (bread wheat)
Lineage: Eukaryota; Viridiplantae; Streptophyta; Magnoliopsida; Poales; Poaceae
Description: partial small subunit ribosomal RNA
Source: RNAcentral